Molecule: unclassified non-coding RNA, 346 nt
Filed under: soil metagenome
Description: partial contains 5.8S ribosomal RNA, internal transcribed spacer 2, and large subunit ribosomal RNA
Rfam family: 5.8S ribosomal RNA (bases 1-119)
Source: RNAcentral
GAUGAAGAACGCAGCGAAAUGCGAUACGUAAUGUGAAUUGCAAAUUCAGUGAAUCAUCGAGUCUUUGAACGCACAUUGCGCCCCCUGGUAUUCCGGGGGGCAUGCCUGUCCGAGCGUCAUUGCUGCCCUCAAGCACGGCUUGUGUGUUGGGCCCCGUCCUCCGAUCCCGGGGGACGGGCCCGAAAGGCAGCGGCGGCACCGCGUCCGGUCCUCGAGCGUAUGGGGCUUUGUCACCCGCUCUGUAGGCCCGGCCGGCGCUUGCUGAUCAACCCAAAUUUUUUAUCCAGGUUGACCUCGGAUCAGGUAGGGAUACCCGCUGAACUUAAGCAUAUCAAUAAGCGGAGGA